GAAGGUCUUUCAAGAAAUAUCAAAUGGCUAGCUCCUCUAUCAUGGUUUCCUCUUCUUCAUCGGACAAGUAGCCACGUUUGCUUGGUCAAGAAAUGGGUUCACCAGUUGUUCAGCAAAAAUGGCCUAUGAAAAUCUCUCAAAACCUACUCUCCCUGCAAUACAAAAGAUCAUCACACGAUCUACUUCCUACGCCUCAGGAACUCGAUCCUAGGGUCCAAAUCCGUCCGAAAUUUGAGCCAAUUAGCAGGAAAACUCGCUUAAAAAGUACCCAAGCCCGUCCGAUAAUGCUCUGGACUCUCCAAAAAAGCCUGUGAACCUACCGUUUUGCCACCAGAUCUGAAAC
This 343-nucleotide long non-coding RNA is filed under the name Amborella trichopoda. Its description in RNAcentral is "long non-coding RNA (ATRI_LNC004240)". The record is from RNAcentral. Lineage: Eukaryota; Viridiplantae; Streptophyta; Magnoliopsida; Amborellales; Amborellaceae.